GCUCAGGACGAACGCUGGCGGCGCGCCUAACACAUGCAAGUCGAACGGAGCUGAGAGGAGCUUGCUUUUCUCAGCUUAGUGGCGAACGGGUGAGUAACGCGUGAGUAACCUGCCCUGGAGUGGGGGACAACAGUUGGAAACGACUGCUAAUACCGCAUAAGCCCACGGCCCGGCAUCGGGCUGAGGGAAAAGGAUUUAUUCGCUUCAGGAUGGACUCGCGUCCAAUUAGCUAGUUGGUGAGGUAACGGCCCACCAAGGCGACGAUUGGUAGCCGGACUGAGAGGUUGAACGGCCACAUUGGGACUGAGACACGGCCCAGACUCCUACGGGAGGCAGCAGUA
Molecule: ribosomal RNA, 341 nt
Filed under: uncultured bacterium
Lineage: Bacteria
Description: bacterial SSU rRNA
Rfam family: Bacterial small subunit ribosomal RNA
Source: RNAcentral